UUGGUGCAGUUUGUAUAAUACUACGAGCUGCUUUUCCUAAACCUGUUUCGGAACUAUGAACGGAACGAUCGGGAAGAUCCGGCAAAUCAUACGACGUUUGGGAACUUGUUACCGGUCGUAGUUGUUAUCGUGAUGUGUUUGCUGCUAGAGAAGCCGGUAUUCCCGCAACUCGCUAACUGAUCGAACCUUCGGAAUAACAAAAACAAACGGUACGGAGGAGCUUGCUUUGUAUUACGAAAACGAUUAAAGUAACCGACACUUCCUUAAAAAACAAUUGCUAACAGAAUUCCUGAUUUUAUUCGGAUUACGCAACAUGGCACGAUGAAAAUGGAACUGGUUGCUGCUCGGUGCUACAUAGACUUGCGGCUACAAGUUCUUCUUGGUUUGAACACUGUGCUAACUCCAACUAAAGCACCAAACGGAUUGAAAUCAGCAAUAGAAAUUUAAUUAGAUC
Sabethes cyaneus is the source of this 454-nucleotide long non-coding RNA. RefSeq lists it as uncharacterized. The transcript has 3 exons. NCBI's taxonomy places the organism in Eukaryota, Metazoa, Arthropoda, Insecta, Diptera, Culicidae. The record is from RefSeq and is a predicted model, not a curated record.